This is a long non-coding RNA of Amyelois transitella, 387 nucleotides long. RefSeq lists it as uncharacterized. Lineage: Eukaryota; Metazoa; Arthropoda; Insecta; Lepidoptera; Pyralidae. The record is from RefSeq and is a predicted model, not a curated record. The transcript has 2 exons.
UGCUAAAUUCAUUCAAGUCUUAUUUCAGCUGUGUACUGUUUUACUACAGUAUGAAGUUAGAAUUGGUUAAAAAUAAUGCAAAUGAUUAUUAGGUACUACCAAAACUGUGCGAAAUCGCAAUAAUUAGUGGCAAGAGCGCGAGGCAACGUUCAAGGCAUUUACAUGAGUCAGGCGAAGGAAGGAUUUGGCUCACCUGGAAAGUGAUUAAAUGAUUCCUCGAAGUCGCCGCGGCCGCCCAGGAGCGGCUGCGACUCCCGGUUUACUCCUGGAGAAUCCACGCUGCCUUCGAAGCCGACGUCAGGAACUAAACAAAUCUCUUCUGAACUACUGGACAAAGAUACCACGCCGUCAUCGGUCGGCGCAAUCGCUGAAUUUAUUUUGUCGAAA